RNAcentral lists this ribosomal RNA (1234 nucleotides) under metagenome. Its description in RNAcentral is "bacterial LSU rRNA". It matches the Rfam family "Bacterial large subunit ribosomal RNA", at positions 1564 to 2808 of the family's 2925-position model. The record is from RNAcentral.
UGAGUACGAGAUGCUACGGCAUCGAAGCAGUCUUGUCAUACUUCCAAGAAAAGCUUGCACUGUCAUAAACAAAGAAUGCCUGUACCAUAACCGACACAGGUGGGUAGGUAGAGUAUACUAAGGGGCGCGAGAUAACUCUCUCUAAGGAACUCGGCAAAAUGACUCCGUAACUUCGGGAGAAGGAGUGCCUUAUUUCUAAGGUUGCAAUAACAAGAUCCAAGCGACUGUUUACCAAAAACACAGGUCUCCGCUAAGUCGUAAGACGAUGAAUGGGGGCUGACGCCUGCCCAGUGCCAGAAGGUUAAAGAAGUUGGUUAGCAUUAGCGAAGCUGAUAACUGAAGCCCUGGUGAACGGCGGCCGUAACAAUAACGGUCCUAAGGUAGCGAAAUUCCUUGUCGGGUAAGUUCCGACCCGCACGAAAGGCGUAAUGAUUUGGAUACUGUCUCGGAGAGGGGCUCGGUGAAAUAGACUUGUCUGUGAAGAUGCGGACUACCUGCACCUGGACAGAAAGACCCUAUGAAGCUUUACUGUAACUUGAGAUUGAAAUUGGACUUUAUUUGCGCAGUAUAGGUGGGAGGCGUUGAGAAUAAUCUUGCGGGAUUGUUGGAGCCAUCAGUGAGAUACCACUCUUGUAAUGUUAGAUUUCUAACUUUGUAUCACUAUCUGGUCAAAGAACAGUUUCAGGCGGGCAGUUUGACUGGGGCGGUCGCCUCCCAAAGGGUAACGGAGGCGCACAAAGGUUUCCUCUGAACGGGUAGAAAUCGUAUCUAGAGUGUAAAGGCAUAAGGAAGCUUGACUGUGAGACCUACAAGUCGAGCAGGGACGAAAGUCGGUCUUAGUGAUCUGACGGUGCUGAGUGGAAAGGCCGUCACUCAACGGAUAAAAGUUACUCUAAGGAUAACAGGCUGAUCUCCCCCAAGAGUUCACAUCGACGGGGAGGUUUGGCACCUCGAUGUCGGCUCAUCGCAUCCUGGGGCGGUAGUCCGUCCCAAGGGUUGGGCUGUUCGCCCAUGAAAGCGGUACGCGAGCUGGGUUCAGAACGUCGUGAGACAGUUCGGUCCAUAUCCGGUGUAGGCGUUAGAAUAUUGAGAGGAGCCUUCUCUAGUACGAGAGGACCGAGAAGGACAUACCUCUGGUGUACCAGUUAUCGUGCCAACGGUAAACGCUGGGUAGCUACGUAUGGAGUGGAUAACCGCUGAAAGCAUCUAAGUGGGAAGCCCACCUCAAGAUAAG